This 142-nucleotide small RNA is filed under the name Arabidopsis thaliana (thale cress). Its description in RNAcentral is "ATSL120230". Lineage: Eukaryota; Viridiplantae; Streptophyta; Magnoliopsida; Brassicales; Brassicaceae. The record is from RNAcentral.
UGUUCUACGAGAGAUGGAGACGGGGCGAGGUUGAGAACUCUGAGGCAUACACAGCAAGCCUCAAAGCUUCAGUUGUGAGUAUAUAACCGAAUUUAGAUAAUGUAUUGCAGUUGGAUUAAAUACCUGACUCUUGUUGUGUCAA